This 1405-nucleotide ribosomal RNA is filed under the name uncultured bacterium. Its description in RNAcentral is "bacterial SSU rRNA". It matches the Rfam family "Bacterial small subunit ribosomal RNA". The record is from RNAcentral.
GAGUUUGAUCAUGGCUCAGGACGAACGCUGGCGGCGUGCCUAAUACAUGCAAGUAGAACGCUGAAGAGAGGAGCUUGCUCUUCUUGGAUGAGUUGCGAACGGGUGAGUAACGCGUAGGUAACCUGCCUUGUAGCGGGGGAUAACUAUUGGAAACGAUAGCUAAUACCGCAUAACAAUGGAUGACACAUGUCAUUUAUUUGAAAGGGGCAAUUGCUCCACUACAAGAUGGACCUGCGUUGUAUUAGCUAGUAGGUGAGGUAACGGCUCACCUAGGCGACGAUACAUAGCCGACCUGAGAGGGUGAUCGGCCACACUGGGACUGAGACACGGCCCAGACUCCUACGGGAGGCAGCAGUAGGGAAUCUUCGGCAAUGGGGGCAACCCUGACCGAGCAACGCCGCGUGAGUGAAGAAGGUUUUCGGAUCGUAAAGCUCUGUUGUAAGUCAAGAACGAGUGUGAGAGUGGAAAAUUCACACUGUGACGGUAGCUUACCAGAAAGGGACGGCUAACUACGUGCCAGCAGCCGCGGUAAUACGUAGGUCCCGAGCGUUGUCCGGAUUUAUUGGGCGUAAAGCGAGCGCAGGCGGUUUGAUAAGUCUGAAGUUAAAGGCUGUGGCUCAACCAUAGUUCGCUUUGGAAACUGUCAAACUUGAGUGCAGAAGGGGAGAGUGGAAUUCCAUGUGUAGCGGUGAAAUGCGUAGAUAUAUGGAGGAACACCGGUGGCGAAAGCGGCUCUCUGGUCUGUAACUGACGCUGAGGCUCGAAAGCGUGGGGAGCGAACAGGAUUAGAUACCCUGGUAGUCCACGCCGUAAACGAUGAGUGCUAGGUGUUGGAUCCUUUCCGGGAUUCAGUGCCGCAGCUAACGCAUUAAGCACUCCGCCUGGGGAGUACGACCGCAAGGUUGAAACUCAAAGGAAUUGACGGGGGCCCGCACAAGCGGUGGAGCAUGUGGUUUAAUUCGAAGCAACGCGAAGAACCUUACCAGGUCUUGACAUCCCGAUGCUAUUUCUAGAGAUAGAAAGUUACUUCGGUACAUCGGUGACAGGUGGUGCAUGGUUGUCGUCAGCUCGUGUCGUGAGAUGUUGGGUUAAGUCCCGCAACGAGCGCAACCCCUAUUGUUAGUUGCCAUCAUUCAGUUGGGCACUCUAGCGAGACUGCCGGUAAUAAACCGGAGGAAGGUGGGGAUGACGUCAAAUCAUCAUGCCCCUUAUGACCUGGGCUACACACGUGCUACAAUGGUUGGUACAACGAGUUGCGAGUCGGUGACGGCAAGCUAAUCUCUUAAAGCCAAUCUCAGUUCGGAUUGUAGGCUGCAACUCGCCUACAUGAAGUCGGAAUCGCUAGUAAUCGCGGAUCAGCACGCCGCGGUGAAUACGUUCCCGGGCCUUGUACACACCGCCCGUC